Chiloscyllium plagiosum (whitespotted bambooshark) is the source of this 1056-nucleotide long non-coding RNA. RefSeq lists it as uncharacterized. NCBI's taxonomy places the organism in Eukaryota, Metazoa, Chordata, Chondrichthyes, Orectolobiformes, Hemiscylliidae. The record is from RefSeq and is a predicted model, not a curated record.
GCUCGCUGCGCAGGCCCGGUACGGCCGGGAGGCCCCGCUUGCGCAGGCGUAGUGCCGGUGGGGGAAACGAGAGGAGCGUCCGUUUGGUCACAUGCUGCCAGACCCACUGAGCUUCUCCUGCAACUUCUGUUUUAGAGCAACGAACAGUGAUAAGUGACAAAGAGACAUCUCCAAUCAAAUGUUUGCUAUCGACUUUGGUGGAGUACUCGAUCCUGCAUGAAGUGUUCAAUUAUCCUAAGUUUGCCCUAGUCAACAGAGGGCGCCUUUGGUAAAAGUUUCCUGCGGCUGGGACUAAUACACUUUGCUGGUUUGAUGCUAUAUAUGGAGGAAUAUGUCUUGUGCAGGGCUUUCUGUACACAAGUGCUUGAAGUUAAAUUGCAUUUUUACAAAAUAAUUUGUCAGUUUGUGAAUUUUCACGGAUUACAAUUUACACAGAUUUUGAUCAGCAAAAUUAAAGCAAUUCAUUUGAUUUGUAACUUUCUCAAUAUUAUCUGUAGUUCCCUGUCAUUGUGAGUGCAUCCUGUAAUUUGCUCAUGGAGUGUAACGUCUUGAUGUAAUGUGAUUCAAAGAAUGGUUACAAUUAAGGAGACCAAGUUGAGUCCAUGUUAGCUUUUAUCAAGAGCAAACCAGUUAGUACUAUUGUUCUACCCUUUCCACAUGAGCAGGCAUUGUUUCUAUCCAGAUGGCUAUUCAGUUCCCAAUAGGAAACCAUAAUUCAAUCUGUCUCCACCACACAUUCAGUGCAACUUAGUAAAAGCAUAUUUCAUUCACAUCACUUUGAUUAUAUUGCUUCAGUUAUACAAGCCGUUUCAUAUUUGUUUAUUUGGUUAUGCUUCAGUUACGCAGGGCACUGGUGAGACAACAUCUGCAGUCUUGUAUAUAGUAUUGGUCUCCUUUUUCACUGAAGGAUAUAAGUGUGUUGGAAGUAGGUCAGAGAAAGUUUAUUUGACUAAUGCCUAGGAUGAGUGGGUUGUCUUUUGAGAAGUGAACAGGCUAAGUUUGUAUCCACUCUAUUUUAGAAGGUUAAGAAACAGCUUGAUUUAAAUGAACAAUGAU